RNAcentral lists this ribosomal RNA (492 nucleotides) under uncultured bacterium. Its description in RNAcentral is "partial 16S ribosomal RNA". It matches the Rfam family "Bacterial small subunit ribosomal RNA", at positions 30 to 506 of the family's 1533-position model. The record is from RNAcentral.
AUUGAACGCUGGCGGCAUGCUUUACACAUGCAAGUCGAACGGCAACGAGGAGAAGCUUGCUUCUCUGUCGGCGAGUGGCGAACGGGUGAGUAUAGCAUCGGAACGUGCCAAGUAGUGGGGGAUAACCAAACGAAAGUUUGGCUAAUACCGCGUAAGCUCCAAGGAGGAAAGUAGGGGACCUAAAUAAGGCCUUACGCUAUUUGAUCGGCCGAUGUCGGAUUAGCUAGUUGGUGGGGUAAUGGCUCACCAAGGCAAUGAUCCGUAGCGGGUCUGAGAGGACGAUCCGCCACACUGGGACUGAGACACGGCCCAGACUCCUACGGGAGGCAGCAGUGGGGAAUUUUGGACAAUGGGGGAAACCCUGAUCCAGCCAUGCCGCGUGUAUGAAGAAGGCCUUAGGGUUGUAAAGUACUUUUGUUAGGGAAGAAAAGCUAGUUUUUAAUAAAAAUUAGUGAUGACGGUACCUAAAGAAUAAGCACCGGCUAACUACGU